Podarcis lilfordi (Lilford's wall lizard) is the source of this 716-nucleotide non-coding RNA. Lineage: Eukaryota; Metazoa; Chordata; Lepidosauria; Squamata; Lacertidae. The record is from the annotation of a GenBank genome assembly.
UGUUAAACUGAAGAAGUGAGGGGGGGCAACUGAACAAGCCAAAGGCUUUUUCAAGCUUCUUUUCGAUCCCAUCCAGCCUUUUAUAUAAGUUGGUGAUGGUAUGUGUUAUCAACUCAGUCUGGCAGAUUAGCAGUUCCAGUGCCUCUCGGUCCUUGUUUAACUGGGCUGGUGACUGGGAUAAUUCAGGUGAAGUUUUUUGCAGGGACUCAAGAGUCUGUUCCAUCUGUUCCUUCAUACACAGGCUCGAGGCUAGUUGUGGGCCAUCCACAAUGCCGGCAGGCUCCUCAUGAGUAGUACUGGGAGCAAGGACCUCAUGGCUGUUUGCUGUGGGGAAGUUUCUACAGAUCUCAUUUAGGUCAUUGUCAGGCAAAAAAUCCCUGAUAUUUGUCUGUUUUUUGGCAGUGCUCGUAGCUUCAUUGGAAUGCUGCCUGCGGCGUUUCUUCCCUCUCAUGUCGGCAAGAAAAUAGGGAGAAAAUUUCUCAAAAUAAUAGGGUCAGGGCAGGUUGUGCUGUUAAUGAGCCCUACUCCCUUUAACAGUCUUUAUCUGCCGUGUUUUCUUGCAGAUUUAUGGGAGAAGUAGAAAUAAUCUAAACCAUAAAACUUCUAAAAUAAACGCCUUAAGGCAUCUUAGAGCCCUUAGAACCCGUCAAAGCAGAUAAUAAAAAUAUAGCUUUACCGAGCAUAAGACAAGGCUGCCGCUCACGUCGCCAUCUUGG